This 235-nucleotide long non-coding RNA is filed under the name Mus spicilegus (steppe mouse). RNAcentral's name for it is "lncRNA (ENSMSIG00000028316.1)". Lineage: Eukaryota; Metazoa; Chordata; Mammalia; Rodentia; Muridae. The record is from RNAcentral.
CCACAGGUAGCUCAAGUGACGUCUAUUCAUUCAUUCUCUCUCUGUUCUCUCCCUCUCAUUGCCCUUCUCCGUGUAUGUGCUUCCAUGUGUUAUCCAGAAGAACCAUACUCCUGUUAUUCAACAACAAACAAAAGUGCAGGGGCAGUUAACACUGCUGGUGCAUUGCAGAUACUUGUGACAAGCUCAAAGAAGCUCUCUGGCACACAGUAGGUACUAUCUAUAAUCUUUGCUUGCC